GGGGGAGGCCCUUGAGGUCCUGUCCUGCUCCUCAAAGGGGCUGGUGGGUGAUGUCCCCUCUGCUGUGGCCUCGGAUGUGACACCCUCUCUGGGUCUGUGUGGGCCUGGCAUUUCCCGGUUAAGAACAUGAGGUCCAGGAGGGGGUGGAGGGGGUCCCUCCAGCCACCACUUCGUUGGACCCCACCCCCAAAUCUGCAUUGGAUGUGACCAACCGCAGGGUCCUCGCUGCUUCCUGGACAAGCGGGGUCUGACUCGCCGGGACACCCAGGCUGGUCGUGGGGCGCCUCCUUCCUGGUACCAGCGGCCGUGCUGAGACAGCCACACGGCUCAGCUCAUCAGUGGGGCCCUGAGCUCCGGGCACUGGACGCCCCACCUUGGGUGUCCAGCCCACUGUACCUCCAGAGAGCAGCCGUGGUCCCCGGGCGUUAGCAGGUGCCUAGGUGAGAGCAGCCGGUGAGAGGGGGACAGACCGUGGCUCUAAGUCACCAACCCCUGAAACUGCCUGUGUGUCCCCGUGAGGGGUGCACGUGUGGAGCCCCUCCUCUGAUGACCUGGGACCAAGGGGAGGGUGUGGUGCCGGCUCAAAGGCACAAAUCCUUUCCUGCCCUAGGUUUCAACUCACUAAUAAGAAGCUGGUGCUCAUGGGGCCACUUUGGCUCAGAGGUGUGGCCGAGGCUGGUGGAGACCCCCUGCCCUGCACAGGUGCGGGAAAUGGCCCUACAGACACUUGCUCCGCCUCUUCCAGGACGUCCUGUCGUUGGAAUCAGACAGCGUGCAGUCCAGGUUAUCGGUGAUCGCAUGCAGUCCUUUGUGGCGCAGAAUCGCGGCCCCUCGUCUGGACCUGACCCCGCGAAGCCGCUCGCCUGCUUAGGGGCAGCAUGCUUGCUGUGGGCGUAGCCGCCCUGAACACCCAGCCGCAGGUUUUUGUGUGGCCCGGGGGCGCGGUUGCCGGGUGCAAGGAGUUUGCUUCCACCCACACUGGUGCCCGCUCGGUGCCUGGACGGCCUCCCUCCGACGCCAGGGGGGCCUCCCAGGCCCCGUCCCGUGCGGGCCGCUGUGAUGUCUCCUUCCUCGUCAGGGGCCCGACGACCCCCUCGCCAGCUCACCUGCCUGCACACCUGGCCGACCCCUCAGGCAGGACCUGGCAGGCCAGGCCCUCGGCUCUGAUCGGCCUCGGCACACGGACGUGAGGGCACGUACGUCACCUUCCGUGCCGCCGUGGAUUAAGUGCACUGUCGUGUGGCUCGGGGCCUUGGCACUGUCUGCCCCAGAACAUUUCUGGAUCACCACACAAGUCAGCUUGCUGGAAGCCGAGGCUAGACCUCGAUGGGAGCCUUAGAAAAACAAAACAUUAACAAAAUCGUGCCACCGAAGUGUCACUUCCUGGAACAAGUCUGGUGACGCAGAAACGUCUUUGGGAAAACAUUGCCUCCUCCCCACCCACCAUCCCCCCCCUUCACCGCCGUCCCCACGGCGGCUCGUGUGCGUCCCUAAGUGCCUUCUCCUUGACGGGUUCUUCCUGGCUUCUGUUAUCGGCGUCAGAGACGUGGUGAAAGUCUGGGGGAUGUUUCUCCCAGACAGAAAACGUGCCCCCCGCCCCAAGGUCUGCACGUCUAGACUCUGUUUCUUGCUCAGGCCUUCACCUCGGGCGCAGGGCUGGAGCGUAGUUGCUGGCCACGGUGCCCUGUGUGGUCUGGGUUGGGUCGCCCACCCCCCGGGGAGGCGCUGGGACAGGAGCCUACCCGUGGCUCCGGUGCCCCGGGUGGAGGCCGCCAGCCAGCACAGAGAGUCUGCAGACGGUGGUUCCUGGGGACGGGGCUGGUGGCCGUUGGGCUCGGCUGAGCACGAGAACCUUUGGACCCCAGAGUGGACUGCAGCGGGCUGCCCGCCCCCCCUCCCAGCCUGGAAGGAGCCCUGGGUGGUGGUCCCUCUCUCCUGCCCUCACUCGAAGCAGGGUGUGUGUGGCCAGGAAGCCUCGGACCCACUCCCCGGUGCCCCUGAGGCUGCGGGUGGCAGGGAGGAACCGGCCGGACGUUGGGGGCAGAGCCCGGGGGGAAGGGAGCCAUGGGCUGGGACCCGCAGGCCCCUCCCGUCAUGCUCCAGGACACGUUUGGUGCGGCCGCCUGCAUGCAGCCCGGACAUCGUGUGUGCCCGCUGGAGCAUCGGUCACCAGCCGCUUCCCCCUGCUCCUGACAGACGUCGCCUGACUUGGGGGGCAUGAGACAGACCGUGGGUUUGGAGGAAGGACCGCCAGCAGCCAGGGCUUGUGGCACUUCACGCUCUGGGCCCGGCCUCACGGGUGACCUUUGGACCCGAGCGCGAACCCGGCCAGGGUGUGGGCGGCCGCGGGGUGUGAUGCCCUUGCCCCGUGGCUCUCUGCCGUGCCGCAGGGAGGGGGGACCGGGGCUCUGGCAGAGUCGGCCCGGCCCCUUGGGAGGAACAGAGAGGAGCUCGACGGGCGCCCACUCGCCGAUGCAGGGGGAGCCUGGGGCUGUCUGCGAGGUGCUCUCACCCGCGGGCUCAGUUACUCCCAUGCACGUGCAGACGUGCAGCACGCUGCCUGUGCAUAAGCACACAAACACGGACGGCGGUGCGUCCACAGGGGUCCCCGGGUGUCAGGCAGGAACGGGCGGGAACGUCUCGUGAACGCCACAGCCACGGUGUUUUCUGUUCCGCUUAUUCAAGCGCCCACUGCCCUCACGGCCACCUGUCCCAUCUGACGGGGAUGGAGCUACUUCUGAAGCGCAGGUGGUCGGGCCCCUGCUCCGGGAAGCUGAACGGUCCUGUACCCAUUCUGUGGAAGAGGAGGCUGAGGCUGGGAAGUGGGGGCCCCCCCGCGGCUGUGGCCGGCGCUCCGCGGAGCUGAGGUCGGCCGGCUCUGGCUUCAGGUGGGGCUGGUGCGUCUCUCACGGCUUUCCAGCCCCUGCCUGGCGGCGCUCAGUUGUUCAGGGGCGCGUACAGGGUCUGACGGACGCGGGUCCCGCACGAGCCUGUCGUCCGCCCGGGGUGGUGGGUCCAGGGGUCCAGGGAGUCGCUCUGCAGGCACUGAGCCCCCGAACGAAUGAGUAAAAGGGUGUGCGGCUGGGGUCCUGGAGGAGAAGCCGCCCCCAAGUGCCCCCCCGCGUGCCACCCUGACAGGUUCCCCUCUCUGUGGGCAUCGCACCCGCCCACUGGAGAAAACCUGAGCCACGGAAAUCUCGUCGGUUUUUAAAACUGAAACGGCGCCGAAGGAGGGAGUCAUCUAGGAAUCCCGCCCCUGCCGCCGGUGCUAACGCUUUUCUCCUGGGCCCUCCCAGGCCGUGUUCGGCGAGACCCGAUUAUUUUCGGGCCGGGCCUAGAGUCACUGAGAGAGGAAUUUGACGAGUACGGUCUAGCCUUCUGGCAAGUGUUUCUCCGGCCCGGAACAUUCCGGCUGGCGGUCCCUCGGGGGUGUCUGUGCAGCCCCGUCGGCAGCCUGGGCAGCGAGUCGUGGGGAACUGCGGCCCCGCGGGCGCAGGGUCUGCACCCACAGUGUCUGCCGGCACCGCCAGGUCAGGAGACCCCGAAACCACACGCCCGAGAGCGCAAGGAAGCGUGUUCUCGUGAGCACGUUCUGGGCCGGGAGGUGGCUCCAUGUGGCCCUGGGGCCCCCUCGCCUUGGCGCCCGUGGUCGACGUCACAGCCGCGGGGGGCAGCACGCACCCUGUCCAUCUGUCCAUCUCUCCAUCUGGGAGAGGGCGGUCACGUCUACCCACAAAGGAGGCGGGGGCUGCAGCCGGCGACAGUGGUGCUCCCCUGCCGUGUGUUUGCCGUGGGCUCUCCCUGCUUCAUGCGUGACGACCUUGCUUCCGUCUGGCUGUGACGGUGACAUACCCGUGUGCACGUGCCCCCCAGCGUCCACGGUCGUGGCCUGCCUCGUCUCACGUGGCCAUUGCUCUGUGCGCCCCCGGGAAGGAAAUGCUGCUGGUCUCUCGGUGGAUGGUGGUCUCCCGACCGGUGCUGGCCCACCCAGACCCAUCCUUACUCCUUCCUGGGAACACCACCUGAUCCUCAGCCCCUCCCCCUGCUGCCCGUCCUCUCGGCUGGGCCUCUGUGAGCGUGCGACCUGUUUGGGCCAAUGCGGUGUGAGGGAAGGUUGCUGGGAGCUUCUGGAAGGUUUUCCUGCUGAGGAGAGAAGCUGCAGGAGGAAGCAGUGGGUUCUAUGCCUGCUGAUAGCAAGGGGAGACACUUGGCGACUCCCCGAACCGCGGCAGCUCCUGUGCCACCAUGAGGGCCUGAGGUCGCCAGAGCAGGACGCAGGGGUGAACCCCGGGCCCUGACACCUGUCUGGGCCACUGAAUCGGCUGCCCAUCUUCCGGUCCCACUGCCUCACAGAUACUCCAGGAGCCCUCAGGCCCCUGCAGCCAGCUUUGCAUCUGAACGGACGCUCUCGGGCUGGAGUGUCACUGAUUCUACACACGGGCCACAUCCAGUUCCACUGCGGGGUUUUGAAAGAGGAAGACAGUCCCAGUUGUAAAAUGGAAAUUACGUAAAUGGGACGGAAGGCGUGUAGGUCACGUGCACCAUAGUUAUAGGGCAUAAAUGUCAAAGAACUAGGUGGGCACAACGGGGCUCUGAGAAAAAUCACGCCCGUCUCAGCAGCCCAGGGCACGGAGGGCCCGCACGCGGUGCCGGGGUGACCUUCCCUGUGCCUCCCUGACGAUGUCGGAGCCCGCGAGUCCCCUCAGCUUUGCUUCCAGCCCAGGACUCUGUGCCUUCUGGGGUUGGGCAGGGAGCACGUGUGCUCCAGGCCCUGCCACCCUCGCCUCCCGGGCAGUGGCGGCAUCCGUCUGCUGUUUAGACGUCUGGCUCCAUCCAUCAGCUGGCUUCAUAAACACGCCAGACGCCCACGAGCCGAGCGGCCCCAUGGCCGGUGCAGGGGUGAGCACGGGGAUCCAGCUGCCGGCGGUGGGGGGGUGGGGGGGUGGCUGCCGAUCAGUGCCCGGAGAUUCCAGGCACGGCGGCACCAGCAGGGUCUUCUCACGGCGUCUCCCCCAGCCUGCGGUGAGGCGGGAGCCGGCCUGGCCGGCGACCUGAGCCGGGUAAACUGAGCCCCCCCGCCUUGGAUCAGGAUCACGUCUGUCGGUGCUGCCAGGGCACGGGGCCACGGACGCGCCUGACAGGCUGAGGGCCCGGGUGCCCCGGGGCAGCAGAGGGUACAGGGGCCCUCGUCCACCCCGGGCCUCAGCCCCCUCAGCAGCGGUGAAGGAGUCGGCAGCCUGUCCCAGAGGCUCGGUUAUUCCAGAGGCUGUUCAGCUUGGCCGCGCGGGGCUCAGCUGCAGGAGUGAUGCUGUUUAUGCACAUCCACCGAGCAGGGCUGAGCGCCAACUGGAUGCUCCGGGCAGUUUACAAAGCCUCACUUCUGAUCCUCACAGGUGUAGAGUCGGGGGGCUCCCCAGACAGGGGACUGGCCUGAGGCGCUUGGCAGGUGAGGGGGCCUGGGGUCAGAGCCCGUCUGCGGCUUCCCGCGUGUGAGGCGGCUCCGUGGGCUCCGUGUUAAUCAUUGAGCCUCUGCAGACCCCCCACCCCCGCUCGGGAGGGGCCCCCGCUGCUCCCUGGGGGCAUGACCUUAGACCACGCCCAUCCCACUGGAGCGCCAAGUCCUUGGGAGCUAGCCCGAGGUCAGCCUGGGGUGCCCCCAAAGAUUCUCCCCACUGCCCGGCCUGUGGUGGCCUCUGACCUCACACCCUUCUGUCUCCAAGGAGGAAACGCCUGACUUCAGUUUAGACAGGGAGCAGGCGGACGGGAGCUGGAGGGGGGGUUGGGCAUGCCCCCUCGCCUGUGACCCCCCAACUGCUGACCCUCACCUGUCCCUUGGCGU
Acinonyx jubatus (cheetah) is the source of this 5839-nucleotide long non-coding RNA. RefSeq lists it as uncharacterized. The transcript has 3 exons. The record is from RefSeq and is a predicted model, not a curated record. NCBI's taxonomy places the organism in Eukaryota, Metazoa, Chordata, Mammalia, Carnivora, Felidae.